This 496-nucleotide ribosomal RNA is filed under the name uncultured bacterium. Its description in RNAcentral is "partial 16S ribosomal RNA". It matches the Rfam family "Bacterial small subunit ribosomal RNA", at positions 29 to 507 of the family's 1533-position model. The record is from RNAcentral.
AUGAACGCUGGCGGCGUGCCUAAUACCUGCAAGUCGAGCGAACAGAUCAGGAGCUUGCUCCUUUGACGUUAGCGGCGGACGGGUGAGUAACACGUGGGUAACCUACCUAUAAGACUGGAAUAACUCCGGGAAACCGGGGCUAAUGCCGGAUAACAUUUAGAACCGCAUGGUUCUAAAGUGAAAGAUGGUUUUGCUAUCACUUAUAGAUGGACCCGCGCCGUAUUAGCUAGUUGGUAAGGUAACGGCUUACCAAGGCAACGAUACGUAGCCGACCUGAGAGGGUGAUCGGCCACACUGGAACUGAGACACGGUCCAGACUCCUACGGGAGGCAGCAGUAGGGAAUCUUCCGCAAUGGGCGAAAGCCUGACGGAGCAACGCCGCGUGAGUGAUGAAGGUCUUCGGAUCGUAAAACUCUGUUAUUAGGGAAGAACAAAUGUGUAAGUAACUGUGCACGUCUUGACAGUACCUAAUCAGAAAGCCACGGCUAACUACGUG